CCUACGGGAGGCAGCAGUGAGGAAUAUUGGUCAAUGGACGAGAGUCUGAACCAGCCAAGUAGCGUGAAGGAUGACUGCCCUAUGGGUUGUAAACUUCUUUUAUAUGGGAAUAAAACGUUCCACGUGUGGGAUUUUGUAUGUACCAUAUGAAUAAGGAUCGGCUAACUCCGUGCCAGCAGCCGCGGAAAUACGGAGGAUCCGAGCGUUAUCCGGAUUUAUUGGGUUUAAAGGGAGCGUAGGUGGAUUGUUAAGUCAGUUGUGAAAGUUUGCGGCUCAACCGUAAAAUUGCAGUUGAAACUGGCAGUCUUGAGUACAGCAGAGGUGGGCGGAAUUCGUGGUGUAGCGGUGAAAUGCUUAGAUAUCACGAAGAACUCCGAUUGCGAAGGCAGUUCACUGGACUGCAACUGACACUGAGGCUCGAAAGUGUGGGUAUCAAACAGGAUUAGAUACCCGGGUAGUC
RNAcentral lists this ribosomal RNA (460 nucleotides) under uncultured bacterium. Its description in RNAcentral is "partial 16S ribosomal RNA". It matches the Rfam family "Bacterial small subunit ribosomal RNA", at positions 338 to 795 of the family's 1533-position model. The record is from RNAcentral.